GAUGAAGAACGUAGCGAAAUGCGAUAAGUAGUGUGAAUUGCAGAAUUACCUGAAUCAUCGAAUCUUUGAACGCACAUUGCGCCCCUUGGUAUUCCGAGGGGCAUGCCUGUUCGAGCGUCAUUAUAACCCCUCAAGCUCAGCUUGGUGUUGGGGCCUGCUGCACUGGCAGCCCUUAAAAUCAGUGGCGGCGCCAUCUGGCUCUAAGCGUAGUAAUUCUUCUCGCUAUGGAGUCCUGGUGGAUGCUUGCCAUCAACCCCCAAUUUUUCUAUGGUUGACCUCGGAUCAGGUAGGGAUACCCGCUGAACUUAAGCAUAUCAAUAAGCGGAGGA
Molecule: unclassified non-coding RNA, 329 nt
Filed under: soil metagenome
Description: partial contains 5.8S ribosomal RNA, internal transcribed spacer 2, and large subunit ribosomal RNA
Rfam family: 5.8S ribosomal RNA (bases 1-120)
Source: RNAcentral